RNAcentral lists this ribosomal RNA (253 nucleotides) under uncultured bacterium. Its description in RNAcentral is "partial 16S ribosomal RNA". It matches the Rfam family "Bacterial small subunit ribosomal RNA", at positions 524 to 776 of the family's 1533-position model. The record is from RNAcentral.
UACGUAGGGUGCAAGCGUUAAUCGGAAUUGCUGGGCGUAAAGCGUGCGCAGGCGGUUAUGUAAGACAGAUGUGAAAUGCCCGGGCUUAACCUGGGAACUGCAUUUGUGACUGCAUGGCUAGAGUUUGGCAGAGGGGGGUAGAAUUCCACGUGUAGCAGUGAAAUGCGUAGAUAUGUGGAGGAACACCGAUGGCGAAGGCAGCCCCCUGGGUCAAGACUGACGCUCAUGCACGAAAGCGUGGGGAGCAAACAGG